Molecule: ribosomal RNA, 497 nt
Filed under: uncultured bacterium
Lineage: Bacteria
Description: partial 16S ribosomal RNA
Rfam family: Bacterial small subunit ribosomal RNA
Source: RNAcentral
GAUGAACGCUGGCGGCGUGCCUAAUACAUGCAAGUCGAGCGAACAGACGAGGAGCUUGCUCCUCUGACGUUAGCGGCGGACGGGUGAGUAACACGUGGAUAACCUACCUAUAAGACUGGGAUAACUUCGGGAAACCGGAGCUAAUACCGGAUAAUAUAUUAAACCGCAUGGUUCAAUAGUGAAAGACGGUUUUGCUGUCACUUAUAGAUGGAUCCGCGCCGCAUUAGCUAGUUGGUAAGGUAACGGCUUACCAAGGCAACGAUGCGUAGCCGACCUGAGAGGGAGAACGGGCACACGGGAACUGAGACACGGUCCAGACUCCUACGGGAGGACGCAGUAGGGAAUCUUCCGCAAUGGGCGAAAGCCUGACGGAGCAACGCCGCGUGAGUGAUGAAGGUCUUCGGAUCGUAAAACUCUGUUAUUAGGGAAGAACAAAUGUGUAAGUAACUAUGCACGUCUUGACGGUACCUAAUCAGAAAGCCACGGCUAACUACGUG